RNAcentral lists this ribosomal RNA (462 nucleotides) under uncultured bacterium. RNAcentral describes it as "bacterial SSU rRNA". It matches the Rfam family "Bacterial small subunit ribosomal RNA", at positions 26 to 518 of the family's 1533-position model. The record is from RNAcentral.
CUAGAACGAACGCUGGCGGCAGGUCUAGGCAUGCAAGUCGAACGGAUGACAAGGGAGCUUGCUCCUGAAGUCAGUGGCGCACGAGUGAGUAACGCGUGGGAAACUGCCCUUCACUGGGGAAUAACGUUUGGAAACGAACGCUAAUACCGCAUACGCCCGCAAGGGGAAAGAUUUAUCGGUGAUGGAUGUGCCCGCGUUGGAUUAGCUAGUUGGUGGGGUAAUGGCCUACCAAGGCGAUGAUCCAUAGCUGGUCUGAGAGGGCGAUCAGCCACGCUGGAACUGAGACACGGUCCAGACUCCUACGGGAGGCAGCAGCUAAGAAUAUUGGGCAAUGGAGGAAACUCUGACCCAGCCAAUGCCGCGUGAAUGAAGAAGGCCUUCGGGUUGUAAAGUUCUUUUAGUCAUGAAGAUGAUGACAGUAGUGACAGAAAAAGCACCGGCUAACUUCGUGCCAGCCGCAGC